RNAcentral lists this ribosomal RNA (450 nucleotides) under uncultured Diversispora. RNAcentral's name for it is "SSU rRNA". It matches the Rfam family "Eukaryotic small subunit ribosomal RNA", at positions 569 to 1022 of the family's 1831-position model. The record is from RNAcentral. Lineage: Eukaryota; Fungi; Glomeromycota; Glomeromycetes; Diversisporales; Diversisporaceae.
AGCAGCCGCGGUAAUUCCAGCUCCAAUAGCGUAUAUUAAAGUUGUUGCAGUUAAAAAGCUCGUAGUUGAACUUCGGGAUUUACCCAUUGGUCAGGCUUAAUUGUCUGUACUGGUGAGAUAAAUCUCUACCUUCUGAGGAACUUUCAUGCCAUUUAUUUGGUGUGAUUGGAAAUCAGGACUAUUACUUUGAAAAAUUAGAGUGUUUAAAGCAGGCUAACGUCUGAAUAUAUUAGCAUGGAAUAAUGAAAUAGGACGGCUUGGUUCUAUUUCGUUGGUUUCUAGGAUCACCGUAAUGAUUAAUAGGGAUAGUUGGGGGCAUUAGUAUUCAAUUGUCAGAGGUGAAAUUCUUGGAUUUAUUGAAGACUAACUACUGCGAAAGCAUUUGCCAAGGAUGUUUUCAUUAAUCAAGAACGAAAGUUAGGGGAUCGAAGACGAUCAGAUACCGUCGUA